RNAcentral lists this ribosomal RNA (381 nucleotides) under uncultured bacterium. RNAcentral describes it as "bacterial SSU rRNA". It matches the Rfam family "Bacterial small subunit ribosomal RNA", at positions 383 to 760 of the family's 1533-position model. The record is from RNAcentral.
CUGAUGAGCACGCCGCGUGAGUGAUGAGGCCUUCGGGUCGUAAAGCUCUGUUGUUAGGGAAGAACACGUACCGGAGUAUCUGCGCGUACCUUGACGGUACCUAAACAGAAAGCCCCGGCUAACUACGUGCCAGCAGCCGCGGUAAUACGUAGGGGGCAAGCGUUAUUCGGAAUUAUUGGGCGUAAAGCGCGCGCAGGCGGUUUUUUAAGUCUGAUGUGAAAGCCCCGGGCUCAACCGGGGAAGUGCAUUGGAAACUGGGGGACUUGAGUGCAGAAGAGGGAAGUGGAAUUCCCCGUGUAGCGGUGAAAUGCGUAGAUAUGUGGAGGAACUUCGUGGCGAAGGCGGCUUUCUGGUCUGUAACUGACACUGANGCACGAAAGC